This 72-nucleotide transfer RNA is filed under the name Bos taurus (domestic cattle). It matches the Rfam family "tRNA". Rfam says of the family: Transfer RNA (tRNA) molecules are approximately 80 nucleotides in length. RNAcentral also lists the same sequence under 2 other names. Lineage: Eukaryota; Metazoa; Chordata; Mammalia; Artiodactyla; Bovidae. The record is from Rfam by way of RNAcentral.
UCCCUGGUGGCUCAGAGGUUAAAGCGUCUGCCUGCAAUGCGGGAGACCUGGGUUUGAUUCCUGGGUCGGGAA